This 5496-nucleotide long non-coding RNA is filed under the name Volvox carteri. RNAcentral describes it as "long non-coding RNA (VCAR_LNC002275)". Lineage: Eukaryota; Viridiplantae; Chlorophyta; Chlorophyceae; Chlamydomonadales; Volvocaceae. The record is from RNAcentral.
ACACUUUCAUGAUAAAGUAACUUGAUGUAUUUGAGGUAUUUAAUACGCGUAUUUCAUUGAUGUCAUUUGCACCACGACCGGCUGCUGUUCGUCAAUGUUUUACCACCGCUGUAUAGUGAUGCUUGACUACAAAGUACAGAGAUGACAUAGAAGCAUGACUCCGAGCUCUUACAUGUAGGAAAAAUACAGGUAACCGUCGAAUUAGGCAAAGUCCGUUGCAGCGCUGGAGGAAACUUAGCGCCCACAUACAACGCCCGCUGCUGCACUCGCGCUUGCAAUGUCACACCUCGCGCAUCGCGCAACCUCACCGGCUCCGAUCAAAGCAGCGAACCUGGCUACCCAUGGCGCGCAAAUGGGUUGAAUCCCUGUACACAUCUGCACGCCCCUCCAAACGUUAUGCCAAACAACGAAAUCUGCCUACACACCACGCAUUGCCCGUUUGCUACAAAGCACGUCGUCCUUUGAUUAUCCCGCGCCAACAUGAGUACGACUGCGGCAGUGGGCACGCGCGUCACCUCACCAAAAAACAUGGCAUCGCGUAUGUAACAUCAUGCUUUUAAAUGUUUCCUUUGGCUCCCGCUCAUCCCUAUCAUGAUUGCCUGUCGGUGGCCAGGUGGUCUUGGGGGGGAUGUGCGGGGUCGUGGGGCUGCCGCCCCACUUCCCCGCACUUUCCCCUCUCUCCUGCCCCUUGUUCUUGGAAAGCUUUAGGCGAAAGUUUUUAUCGGCUGGCAUUAGCAAGCAUGUGGGCUGUGUGCCUUUUCCAAUGAUUGAAACGGUUUGUUUUCUUGCAUUGGUCGUACAGUGCAAAUUGCCCACACAUUGCUAGUUGUUGCAACAGUAAAGUAUAAGCAAUUGACGAAGUGUAAGGAGAAUGUCAGUCUGGAGAAUUAAGCAUCUAAAUUUGUGAUUACAGUCGAGGUGAGCCGUUAGUCCCCCCCAUUUAAACUGGGCAGGUUGCAGGUUGUCCGCCGUCACCAGCAUGUCGUUGGCAGUGUGCACCGCACUGUUGCCUCUGCCACCGCUGCUGCCGUCGGGCAUGUUAGACUUAGCGCUGUCAGCACUAUCACCGGAGCAGCGGUGGACUUCCCGACUUUCCGCCGCCGCCACUGCUGCUGCUGUCGGGUUGGCAGGCCGUCAUUGACCGGGGCUGUGGCAUGUGCAGGGACUGCCGUUGACUGCGGGUGUUGCGAUGGAAGGGGUGGUGUUGGGGUCGCCGGGGGUGGGGUAGCCACUGGGGUCGGCAGCAUGGCGGGCGGUGUAGAGCCGCCGAUGGGGUCACUGCCGCUGGGGCAGCAGUGUUUUUUUUUUGCGGAAUAUAUUCCGAAUUCGGAAUAAAAAAUGUUCGCGGUCCUGGAAAUUAAGAAUAAAUAAUGUUCCGACCGUACAAGUUCAUUCCUCCAGCCAAAUAGGGGGGUCCUUGUGAAGCAGCUGCCCGCGUUUCCAAAGCCCGUAUGGUGUUGGAUUGUAAGUUGCCCAAGUACGUUUGCGAGGAAGAGAAUGUGGCCAGGCUGGAGAGGAAAGUGCAGUGGCAUAUUGGAAUGUGAGAUUAGCGUAAGCGAGUUACAGGGCGUUUUUAUUUAUUGCACGGGCGAAUUUACGUGCAAAUCUUUNNNNNNNNNNNNNNNNNNNNNNNNNNNNNNNNNNNNNNNNNNNNNNNNNNACUUUUUCGGUCGCUCGAGCGUCGCAGGAGCAGUGGCGACGCACUUUGUGGAGUGAUGCACGUCCAUGGAGUCCAGGAAUUAACUUUGCGCGAGCAGCCACUCUGUAUGGCCAAGUAGCAAUCCAAUUUUCAUUCUUCGUAAAGAAUCGGGAGAGUAACGCUACAGGAGCGUCCAUACAAUAAUAGGACAAGGGGCUCCGCUCGUCAAAGUAGACUUUGACGUGGUGGCGUUAGUAGAACCAAAACUAACUCCAGAAAAGCUUUACGAAAUUCAUCAAGAAUACGGUGAACCCAAAGAUAAGAACAAGCGGAACCUUGCGGAACCGAACUCAAUCGAUCAACGCAGCGAUCACUCAUGAAAACACCAAGAGAUGCAAUGGAGGCUCACUCUAGGAACCAGGAUUCCAAGGACAAAGAGGUUCGGCAGGUCAACUCGUCGGGUCAAGUCAAGUCGCAUGUCGCACGAAGUGCAUUUUCCACAGGACAACGUAUUACAAGUGACCGAUUAUCUCCGACGCUGUCACAUUGACAUGCGCCGCACGGUGGUGGCCUGGUGGGGCUGCGGGACCUCCGCGGGACCCCCGCGGUGGGUGGUGGGGGAGCCACCCUGCGGCAGCAUCACUCCUGGGCCUGCCCCGUGGCCCUGGGCACGGUGGGCCAAGUUCAAUUGCAGAUGGUUGCUCGGGUGAGCCGAGCAAAGCUCUGGCUGAUGCAAGCGCCACCCCCUUAGAGGGCUGUGUGUAGGUUGUGGUAGUGUGUCCUGAGGUGCCUGUGUAGGCGACUUUCCCCGAGUCCUGCUUUAUAAUUUUCUGGUGCAGUUGUGAUGCGUCGCUGUUGCCCCCUGUUUGGUAGUGGUGUCCCGCUGGGUGUCUGCAUUUUUGGGUGUUCUGCUGGCGGGCUGUAGCUACUGUUCACUUUCGGGCAUUGUGAUGCGGGGAUGCAUUGCACCGACCUUGCACGGGGUCCACUGUAACCUUCAUUCAUUCAGUGUAUGUGAAGAAAUGCAUGAAUUCUCGGUCUUAGAGGGGAUUGCGUUAUGUGUGUAGUGUAGGGUGUGCAGGAUUUCACACGCAGCGCAAGUCGCGCGCCUGCCAGGGAUUCACACGGCAGCCCCGGCCCAUCAUCAGCCUAUGACAGCUGCCGCCACUUCAAGGCGAUUUGCUUUGUGUGCUCGUGAGGCAGGGAGCUCUGUCCAGCUGCCGCUGCUUCUGAUGGGGUGUUACACUGUGGGCGGCUCGUCCCGAGAGAGGACAAGCACCGGGGGCUAUGACCGGGCCGAAACACAGGGGCGGGCGGGCGCGUGGCUCUACGUCCGUCUGUUCCGCCGCGCUCGCCUCACCCCCUCACUCACGCCAACCGGGGCGCUGUCCCAGCCCCUGGCUAGGCAACACAGCGGACACAGAAGACUGCGAACCGAACUAAGCGAGAGGCUCACGAGAGGCGCCACACUUCUGCCUUCUGUGAUUGCGCUAAACAUGUACCCGUUUGGUACCUGCUGAGGCUUUGCUGCUUGACCAUCCACGCUCUUCUCGCACGUUGGUUUGUGACCUUCACAGCUGCUCCUCUAUCUGUUACCGCAAUCGUGCUCGCUGCCAUCGGAGCGGUUACCUUUCGCUAGUACCCAUACUUGCGUGAAACACUCUUAUAUCAACCGAGUCUAAUACAAUGACCAGCAGUGAAUUUGACAAAGUGUCCUGCUCUCAUCCAAAGUCAGACCUGUGCCUAAACGCGAACGUAAAGGCACAAUUCUUUGUCAAUAUGUUCUUCGUUAAACGUCUUACUUAUAACACUCGAAAAAAAUUGCGAAUACUUUAGUUUUUGGUGCUUAUGUGAGCUCGAAUGGGCUGGGGACCGGAAGGCACAUAAAUUAGGUCCCUCGCCGGUCCCACGGUCGUACAUUCCGGGUCCCCUGGCCCUAGAUAUGCCCUACAUACAGCAGUCACGAAUGAGUGCCCCAAUUUUUGGUUGGCUAGUGACACUUAAAAUUUAUAUGAGGAACACUUUCAUGAUAAAGUAACUUGAUGUAUUUGAGGUAUUUAAUACGCGUAUUUCAUUGAUGUCAUUUGCACCACGACCGGCUGCUGUUCGUCAAUGUUUUACCACCGCUGUAUAGUGAUGCUUGACUACAAAGUACAGAGAUGACAUAGAAGCAUGACUCCGAGCUCUUACAUGUAGGAAAAAUACAGGUAACCGUCGAAUUAGGCAAAGUCCGUUGCAGCGCUGGAGGAAACUUAGCGCCCACAUACAACGCCCGCUGCUGCACUCGCGCUUGCAAUGUCACACCUCGCGCAUCGCGCAACCUCACCGGCUCCGAUCAAAGCAGCGAACCUGGCUACCCAUGGCGCGCAAAUGGGUUGAAUCCCUGUACACAUCUGCACGCCCCUCCAAACGUUAUGCCAAACAACGAAAUCUGCCUACACACCACGCAUUGCCCGUUUGCUACAAAGCACGUCGUCCUUUGAUUAUCCCGCGCCAACAUGAGUACGACUGCGGCAGUGGGCACGCGCGUCACCUCACCAAAAAACAUGGCAUCGCGUAUGUAACAUCAUGCUUUUAAAUGUUUCCUUUGGCUCCCGCUCAUCCCUAUCAUGAUUGCCUGUCGGUGGCCAGGUGGUCUUGGGGGGGAUGUGCGGGGUCGUGGGGCUGCCGCCCCACUUCCCCGCACUUUCCCCUCUCUCCUGCCCCUUGUUCUUGGAAAGCUUUAGGCGAAAGUUUUUAUCGGCUGGCAUUAGCAAGCAUGUGGGCUGUGUGCCUUUUCCAAUGAUUGAAACGGUUUGUUUUCUUGCAUUGGUCGUACAGUGCAAAUUGCCCACACAUUGCUAGUUGUUGCAACAGUAAAGUAUAAGCAAUUGACGAAGUGUAAGGAGAAUGUCAGUCUGGAGAAUUAAGCAUCUAAAUUUGUGAUUACAGUCGAGGUGAGCCGUUAGUCCCCCCCAUUUAAACUGGGCAGGUUGCAGGUUGUCCGCCGUCACCAGCAUGUCGUUGGCAGUGUGCACCGCACUGUUGCCUCUGCCACCGCUGCUGCCGUCGGGCAUGUUAGACUUAGCGCUGUCAGCACUAUCACCGGAGCAGCGGUGGACUUCCCGACUUUCCGCCGCCGCCACUGCUGCUGCUGUCGGGUUGGCAGGCCGUCAUUGACCGGGGCUGUGGCAUGUGCAGGGACUGCCGUUGACUGCGGGUGUUGCGAUGGAAGGGGUGGUGUUGGGGUCGCCGGGGGUGGGGUAGCCACUGGGGUCGGCAGCAUGGCGGGCGGUGUAGAGCCGCCGAUGGGGUCACUGCCGCUGGGGCAGCAGUGUUUUUUUUUUGCGGAAUAUAUUCCGAAUUCGGAAUAAAAAAUGUUCGCGGUCCUGGAAAUUAAGAAUAAAUAAUGUUCCGACCGUACAAGUUCAUUCCUCCAGCCAAAUAGGGGGGUCCUUGUGAAGCAGCUGCCCGCGUUUCCAAAGCCCGUAUGGUGUUGGAUUGUAAGUUGCCCAAGUACGUUUGCGAGGAAGAGAAUGUGGCCAGGCUGGAGAGGAAAGUGCAGUGGCAUAUUGGAAUGUGAGAUUAGCGUAAGCGAGUUACAGGGCGUUUUUAUUUAUUGCACGGGCGAAUUUACGUGCAAAUCUUUCACCGUAGCAUCAGUCCUCAGUUCACUUCUUGGAACGAACAUCAGCAUAGGUCCAAGCCCUCUCGCUUGGAGGGAUAUGCAAACAAACAUCCUGAUAGGGGUAAACUCGCACGCUACCGAGCAUUCAACCGAGCACAUGCAUGCUUAGUUGAAUGGUGAGAUGCGACCCCCCCUUCAUUUCGUGCUCGGCAAGCCUGCCACCGCGUACCGGAUAUGUUGGCGAUGUNNN